This 253-nucleotide ribosomal RNA is filed under the name uncultured bacterium. Its description in RNAcentral is "partial 16S ribosomal RNA". It matches the Rfam family "Bacterial small subunit ribosomal RNA", at positions 524 to 776 of the family's 1533-position model. The record is from RNAcentral.
UACGUAGGUGGCAAGCGUUGUCCGGAAUUAUUGGGCGUAAAGCGCGUGCAGGCGGUGGGCUAAGUUGGGUGUGAAAGCUCCUGGCUCAACUGGGAGAGGUCGCUCAAGACUGGCUGACUAGAGCAUGGUAGGGGAAGGUGGAAUUCCGGGUGUAGUGGUGAAAUGCGUAGAUAUCCGGAGGAACACCAGUGGCGAAAGCGGCCUUCUGGACCAUGACUGACGCUGAGGAGCGAAAGCAUGGGGAGCGAACAGG